GAUGAACGCUGGCGGCGUGCCUAAUACAUGCAAGUCGAGCGAACGGACGAGAAGCUUGCUUCUCUGAUGUUAGCGGCGGACGGGUGAGUAACACGUGGAUAACCUACCUAUAAGACUGGGAUAACUUCGGGAAACCGGAGCUAAUACCGGAUGAUAUUUUGAACCGCAUGGUUCAAAAGUGAAAGACGAUCUUGCUGUCACUUAUAGAUGGAUCCGCGCUGCAUUAGCUAGUUGGUAAGGUAACGGCUUACCAAGGCAACGAUGCAUAGCCGACCUGAGAGGGUGAUCGGCCACACUGGAACUGAGACACGGUCCAGACUCCUACGGGAGGCAGCAGUAGGGAAUCUUCCGCAAUGGGCGAAGGCCUGACGGAGCAACGCCGCGUGAGUGAUGAAGGUCUUCGGAUCGUAAAACUCUGUUAUUAGGGAAGAACAUAUGUGUAAGUAACUGUGCACAUCUUGACGGUACCUAAUCAGAAAGCCACGGCUAACUACGUG
RNAcentral lists this ribosomal RNA (497 nucleotides) under uncultured bacterium. RNAcentral describes it as "partial 16S ribosomal RNA". It matches the Rfam family "Bacterial small subunit ribosomal RNA", at positions 28 to 507 of the family's 1533-position model. The record is from RNAcentral.